RNAcentral lists this non-coding RNA (31 nucleotides) under Rattus norvegicus (Norway rat). The record is from RNAcentral. Lineage: Eukaryota; Metazoa; Chordata; Mammalia; Rodentia; Muridae.
UGAAAUUGAACUGUGCUGGGUGCUUAUUAAA